GUAUCGGUGGUAUAGUGGUGAGCAUAGCUGCCUUCCAAGCAGUUGACACGGGUUUGUUUCCCGGGCAAUGCA
This is a transfer RNA of Amazona aestiva (blue-fronted amazon), 72 nucleotides long. It matches the Rfam family "tRNA". Rfam says of the family: Transfer RNA (tRNA) molecules are approximately 80 nucleotides in length. Their secondary structure includes four short double-helical elements and three loops (D, anti-codon, and T loops). Further hydrogen bonds mediate the characteristic L-shaped molecular structure. tRNAs have two regions of fundamental functional importance: the anti-codon, which is responsible for specific mRNA codon recognition, and the 3' end, to which the tRNAs corresponding amino acid is attached (by aminoacyl-tRNA synthetases). tRNAs cope with the degeneracy of the genetic code in two manners: having more than one tRNA (with a specific anti-codon) for a particular amino acid; and 'wobble' base-pairing, i.e. permitting non-standard base-pairing at the 3rd anti-codon position. The record is from Rfam. Lineage: Eukaryota; Metazoa; Chordata; Aves; Psittaciformes; Psittacidae.